RNAcentral lists this ribosomal RNA (301 nucleotides) under uncultured bacterium. RNAcentral describes it as "partial 16S ribosomal RNA". It matches the Rfam family "Bacterial small subunit ribosomal RNA", at positions 509 to 809 of the family's 1533-position model. The record is from RNAcentral.
CAGUCGCCGCGGGAAUACGAAGGGGGCUAGCGUUGUUCGGAUUUACUGGGCGUAAAGCGCACGUAGGCGGACUUUUAAGUCAGGGGUGAAAUCCCGGGGCUCAACCCCGGAACUGCCUUUGAUACUGGAAGUCUUGAGUAUGGUAGAGGUGAGUGGAAUUCCGAGUGUAGAGGUGAAAUUCGUAGAUAUUCGGAGGAACACCAGUGGCGAAGGCGGCUCACUGGACCAUUACUGACGCUGAGGUGCGAAAGCGUGGGGAGCAAACAGGAUUAGAUACCCCGGUAGUCCCUGUCUCUUAUAA